GAUGAACGCUGGCGGCGUGCCUAAUACAUGCAAGUCGAGCGAACAGACGAGGAGCUUGCACCUCUGACGUUAGCGGCGGACGGGUGAGUAACACGUGGAUAACCUACCUAUAAGACUGGGAUAACUUCGGGAAACCGGAGCUAAUACCGGAUAAUAUAUUGAACCGCAUGGUUCAAUAGUGAAAGACGGUUUUGCUGUCACUUAUAGAUGGAUCCGCGCCGCAUUAGCUAGUUGGUAAGGUAACGGCUUACCAAGGCAACGAUGCGUAGCCGACCUGAGAGGGUGAUCGGCCACACUGGAACUGAGACACGGUCCAGACCCCUACGGGAGGCAGCAGUAGGGAAUCUUCCGCAAUGGGCGAAAGCCUGACGGAGCAACGCCGCGUGAGUGAUGAAGGUCUUCGGAUCGUAAAACUCUGUUAUUAGGGAAGAACAAAUGUGUAAGUAACUAUGCACGUCUUGACGGUACCUAAUCAGAAAGCCACGGCUAACUACGUG
This 497-nucleotide ribosomal RNA is filed under the name uncultured bacterium. Its description in RNAcentral is "partial 16S ribosomal RNA". It matches the Rfam family "Bacterial small subunit ribosomal RNA", at positions 28 to 507 of the family's 1533-position model. The record is from RNAcentral.